This 11415-nucleotide long non-coding RNA is filed under the name Nicotiana tabacum (common tobacco). RNAcentral's name for it is "long non-coding RNA (NTAB_LNC010588)". The record is from RNAcentral. Lineage: Eukaryota; Viridiplantae; Streptophyta; Magnoliopsida; Solanales; Solanaceae.
AACACACACCUGCCCGUUUCCUUCCAAUUCAAUUUUCUCUCCCUCAUCUCUCUUAUAAAACAGAACACACAAAAGAAAAAUAGGGGGGAUCAGCCAAGAAACCCCAUUGAAACCAGCUGAAAAACAUAUCAAAAUUCAGCCACUAAACAGCCCCAAAAUCACUCCGAAAAUAGCCUGAAAUCACCCCCUAAAAUAGUCCAAAAGGCAUAAAAAAUAAUCCAAAAAAUGAGCUGAAAACCUCCACCAAACAGCUCCAAAAACAGUCUCAAAACACCCCAGAAAUACCCUUGUUUCCGUCGUAAUUAUACCAUCUCCAACCAGCUCCUUUUCCUCUAACAAACAACUACAACACCAUCUUGAAACUAGUCCCAAAGCCAGCUAACUCAUUUCUGUUUCCAAAACGACACCACAGGUUCCUAAAAUACGACACGAAGACAUACAUGUCGCAACUGAGGUUCCUUCGGCUUCAGUCGCUCGUGGUUUGCUAUUAAGGUACAAUGAAAGCAUUGUUGUUGUGCUCAUUUUCAACUGCUGUAGAUCUUAUUUAGCGAAUAAACAUUGAAGGUCCAUUUCUUGACCUUACUUUCUAUUUUUGUUUUAUGUUGGAGAUAUAAAAAAUUAUGUUUCGUUCAUAUUAUUUUUUUUAGACAAACUAUUAAUGCAUCUUGAUUUUUCUUGAGUGCAUUGACUGUUGGAUACUUUGUUAUUCUUCAUUUCUUUGCCUACUGUGUUAGCAUUGAACUUGCUUCAGUAGUUUCCUUUUUUCUUAAGAGCUUUAUUGGUAGUUUGGACCUGGGUUUAAUUGAUAAUGGGCUGGAUUACAAAAUGGACUAUUAGCUCAGAUAUUUGGGCCAUGGGGUGGUAAGAACUUGGUUAUUUAGAGUUUAAAUGGGGCAUAGAUAUAGGUAAGAACCGUGUGGUAUAAGACUUGAGCCAUGUGAAAAUAAAAUGAAGAGAAUGUCAAUUUUGUUAGAUCAAAUGACUUAGUAAUAGAUGUAAAAAUCAUUUCGAUAACUCCACAUCAAUAAACUAUUGUCCUUACAAUAAUCUCUAGUUUAGAAAAUAAUUCUUAUAAACACUCGUAGUUUGCUUUUAGGCACGUUAAUAAUAAAACAUAGUGACUAUGGGUACGAUUCCCGCGACAUAGUCAUGAUACAUAAUCCUCAAUUCGAUUGCGUAUUUCAUGCGACUUGACCAUAACUUCAAAUAAUAAAAAAAAAACAUGUUGUAAAUUGCGGGUGCGUUUCACGUGGCGCGAUUCGCAAUGUGUACAAAAACAACGAGUGUGUGACAUCGCGACUUGUUCAGAUAAUUUCAUAUUUUAAUAAUUAAAAGCGGAUAGAUAAAACAUAAAAACCAAUAAAUCACAGUUUAUCCAAAAUUAAUUCAAGCCAAGUUGUAGUCAAUAAAGCGACCGUGCUAGAACAACGGGACUCAGGGAAUGCCUUACACCUUCUCCUCGGUCAACAGAAUUUCUUACCCGGACUUUAUUUUCGCAAACCAAUAAUAAAAGAGUCAAAUCUUUCUUUGAAUAGGGAUUCAAAUAAAAGGUGACUUGGAACACCCAAAAAUCAAAUUCCAAGUGGCGACUCUGAAUAAUAAAAUAAUCCCUACUUUAAAAUAUCACUUUAAUUGGAAAAACUCUUUAACCCACAACAAUCCAUAAUAUCUUUCUUUUGGGGGUAAAACGGGGUGUGACACUCAUAACCAUACUAACAAUCAUGAUAAUAAUUGAAAGCAUUAAAAUACAGAUUAAGGAAGAACAGAAGAGAAAACUCUGUGAUUCGUUGCUUCCAAGUGUUCUGUAGCCUUUUGCCUCUCCAAUAGUGUCCUUCCCCUCUAAAAACUAAGUUUAGGAAGUAUUUAUAAGGUAGGGUUGAGGUUUACACGUCCAAAAAUUGUGAGAAAAUAAAAGUAGCUCGGAUAGCAUCGUCUAUAGCGUCAAUGUUUUUGCACGAGGCAAUGUCUAUGGAGCCAAUAUUUCUGCGCAAGGCACUGUCUGACCAAUGACAGUGCCCUGGACAAUGCCCUGCACUGUCUAUGGCCAUUACUUUUCACUGCCUUGCACGUCUUCUUUUAUUGCUCCAUUUUGUAGCUCUGAUAUACCAUUUCGUUCAACUUUUCUCCAAUUCAUGUCCAAGCAUUCCUACACGUGAAAUAAGCUCUAUUAAGCACAAUUGUCGCACAAAUUAACAUCCAAACAAUAAGUAAGUAGGGUAAAUAACAUCAAAAUAUAUAGAAUUAUAGCACGACAUCAACACCCCACACUUAAAUGUUGCUCACCCUCGAGUCAACCAACAAAAUACUUCCUCUUCAAGGACCCAACAAGCCACACAUUUACAACACACUACAUCUAUGACCAUGGUUGAUAGCAACAAUUAAGCUUUAGCAUAUGCUGUCAAAAUACACUUCUUGUACUUAUGCCCAAUUUUAAAACAUUUAACACAGGAACAACAUGAUUAUAACAAUCCUAGCCUCGAAAACUAACUCAAUGUCACAAUGCACCCGAGGCUGGAAUACUUAAUCUAAUAGAGAGGUCUAAUAAUAUUACCUAUCCUUUGUGAAACCAUGUACCCUCACAAUAAAACAAAGAGUAAGCAGUCCACAUAUCCAAAUCACAUGAUCAAAUAUAUUUUAAGGACUCACACAUAUGAAGAAAAUCACUCACUCUCUCAAAGAAAUCACAUGCACGCAAAAGGUACUAUAGGCUUGCCCAUUAUGUAAACCUCUACUAAUGUAGGUUCGCUCAGUUCAAAAUCAACUAGGAUUUAUUAAGGUUGUAAUGUGGGCUAAGGGACGGGUAGGAUAUAUUUAGGAUAUAGUGGCUAACCCUCCUAAGCACUUUAUCACAUCACGUAUUCAACUUUAAGCGCAAAAUUCCUUCAAUCAUCACAAGAUAGCUCACCCCAUAAUAUUUUUCCUUCUUCUUUACGCACUGCUUCAGAUCACAUCUAGCAAAAAUAAGAAACCUUUAUUUAUUUAUUUAUUCUUUUUUUCUCUUUUUCUUUAUUUUCUUUUUGUAUUUUUUCCUUACCGCUAGUGGAGUUUUAUUAAAAUACAAGUGCACAUUUCUUCCUUCUAUUGGUUCCACUCAAAAUCUACCCCAAGUUUCCUCAUUACUUCUUUCUAGUGCUCUCUUUACAAUUCAAGUGCUUUAAGAGGUAUAAGGAUCAAAAUAGUUCGAUUAAGAAAAAAAGGGGAUAGGCUUUGUAACGACCCGGCCGAUCGUUUUGAGAGUAGUAGCCCCGAACUCCUAUUUAUUUCUUCCCUUAUUUCAUGUUGAGAUUACAUAACUUGCCGGUAGGAUUUGUUUUUGGUUACGGAGUGUAAUGGGACACAUAGUCCUUAAAAUAGAAGUUUAAGUCGUAGGAAUCGACUGUGGUUUGAAUUAUGUGAAGACGACUCCAGAAUGGAGUUUCGAUGGUUCCAAUAGCUUCGUAGGGUGAUUUUGGUCUUAGGAGCAUGUUCGGAUAUGGAAUUGGAGGUUCGUAGGUCAUUUUAGCGCCAAUUGGCGAAAGUUGGAAAAUUGGAUAAUUUUUGAAAAGUUUGACUGGGAGUGGACUUUUUGAUAUCGGGGUCAGAUUCUGAUUUUGGAAGUUGGAGUAGGUCUGUAAUGUCAAUUAUUACUUGUGUGCAAAAUUUAAGAUCAAUUGGACUUGAUUUGAUAGGUUUAGGCGUCGGAGGUAGAAGGUUGAAGUUUUAAAGUUCAUUAGGGUUAAAUCGAUGUGCAAUUCAUAUUUUUAGCGUUGUUUGAUAUGAUCUAAAUGAUCUACUAAGUUCGUAUGAUGGUUUAGGACUGGUUGGUAUUUUUGGUUGAGGUCCCGGGGGCCUCGGGUGGAUUCCGGGUGGUUAACGGACAAAAAUUGGACUUGGAGCAUAGCUGAGCUUUGUUGUGUCUAGUGUAAUCGCGCCAGCGCAUUUUGGGCCAAAGGUGUGGCACCACAGAAGCGGCCAUCGAGCAGCAGAAGCAUAAUUGGGACUGCAGCUGAGACCGCAGAUGCGGUCGUGCCCCCGCAGAAGCGAGCAAAGGCAACCUAGAAGCGGAAUUUGGCAAGGGAGUUGGGACCGCAGAAGCAGUUUGGAGGCUCGCAUAUGCGGAGUGAGGUGACGCAGGAGCGAAAGAAGCCGCAGAUGUGGGUCAAUGGUUACUUCUGCGACGCCGCAUAAGCGGUUAAGUUUUUGCAUAAGCGAAAAGCCUGGGCAGACUAUAUUAAACCAAGGGUUCGUGAUUUUAUCAUUAUUGAACAUUUUGAGCACGGGUCUUGGCGAUCUUUGAGAGCAUUUUCGAGUGAUUUCUUGAGGUAAGUCUGUUGUGUAAAUUUUUUAUUAAUAAUCUUGUUUCCCCAUUAAUUUUUCCACCAAGUUAGUGUAUAUUUAAGGUGGAAUUUGGGAGUCGAGGCUAGGUGUCACGACCCAAAAUCCAUAAUAGGUCGUGAUGGAGCCUAACACCGUUGUCAAGCAAGCCAACCAUAAUUAAUUAACUUCAUUACUCCUUUUAAUAUUUGAAAUCAUGAUUUUCUUUAAUUUAAUAAUAAAAGAAGAACUUUACGGAGUAAAUAAAAAUAAUUUCAUAAUUUCAAUACCAAACAACUCAUAAUCACCUCAAAACCCGGUGUCACAAGUGAAUAAGCAUCAACUAGGAAAUAUAAUAAAAAUGCAGCAUCUGUCCGGAAUACAAAUUAGACAGGAGAAACAUAAAUAACUCUUAUGGAGACUCUGCAGGUUGCGGAUCGUAACAUGAAAUCCAGCUCACAGUAAAUUCCCACAAUAUCCGCGCCUCUGCGCCCAAAAGACCACUGGGUAUAUAUGCACCUGCACAAAAUAUGCAGCAAGUGUAGUAUGAGUACGUAAAUCAACGCGUACCCAGUAAGUAUCUAGCCUAACCCCGGAGGAGUAGUGAUGAGGGGUCGACAUCGAAUCGACACUUACUAGAGGUCCAGUUAAAUAAAUAAUACGAUAAUUCAUACAAUUGUAAAGUACACAUCAAUAGGGGAGAAAUCCGAAGUUUCAUAGCGUUCCAAUUAUUUUCUUUUUAUCAAAAAUUUAUCGAUCAUGUAUCCUACCUCAAUAUCUCAGAAUAAAUUCCAAGUGUCAAUACCAAUCAGAUAAGAAAUACCAUAAAAUACCAGGCGUCAGUGAAAAGUUUAUCUCGUGAAUAUUCGGACUACUAGCGGUAUAACGCACGAUUCUGUCGAGGUCAUUCGGCCCUAUCCGGAGUAGUGUGUACACUGCCGAGGGUCGAACGGCACGAACUAGAGAUGCACCUUUAUAUACUGCCGAGGCGUUCGGCCCGCUCCACAAGAAAGGAAGGAAUUUAUCUCAUUCCAAGAGAUAUUGCCGAGGCGUUCGGCCUGCUCCACAAGAAAGGAAGGAAGUUUCUGAAUCACAAGAUACGCGCUUACAAUAAAGUACAUGAGCACAAUAAUAAGUACAUCUCUUUACAUUUAUCGAAUACCUUAGCAACAUCUCGGGGUAUUAAAGCUUGACCUGAUACUUUUAUUUCUAAAUCAAUUUCAGUUAUAACUUUAAUUAAAUAAGCCAGCAGAACAAGUUCAAAUAAUUUAAUUAUUACAGGAUAAGGUCCUAAGUCAACCCGGACAUAGACAUGCUUUAGCUACGAACGGACUCUCAUCACCUCGUACGUACGUAGCGCCCACAACUAGUUGUGCAUAAUAAUAAGUAUCACCUAGGGGUGGUUUCCCCCUUACAGGGUUAGAUAGGAGACUUACCUCGCUCCGAAGUUCCAUAACCGGCUCCAAAGCCCUCUAACACCUCAAACCGAUGCUCGUCGCUCCAAAACUAGUCAAUCAAUGUUCAAACAAAUAAAACUAUACUCUAAUACUCAUAACAAAUCAAUUUAGACAAAUUUCUAACUCCGCUCAAAAAGCCGAUAAAGCAACCCUCAGGCCCUCGUGCCCGGAUUCCAAAUUUUUUUGAAGAUAAACAUUACCCAUAACAUUACGAACUCAAAUAUAUGAUUUAUUCUCAAUUCCAUGCCCAAAUUCGUGGUCAAAAUCCAAAAAUACCAAUUUCUAGGUUUUCUACCAAAACCCCAAAUUUCUACAAAUUUCCAUGCUUGAAUUAUAAAUCUUGUAUUUAACUCACAACACGCGGAAAUCACUUACCUUGACAUAGAUGAUGAAAAUCCCUCCUUGAAGCUCUCUAAAAUCGCCCCAACCAAGUGAAAAAUGAGAGAAGAAGAGCCAAAUCCAACUCUUAAAAUGAUUCUGCCUAGUGAUGUUUCACACCUGCGAUGCCUUGCCGCAUCUGCGGUCCCGCACCUAUGACAAAAUCCUCGCAGGUGCGCAUUUCCCUUACCUGGCCAUGCUCUGCAUCUACGGACAAAAGUAACGCUUCUGCGAGCCCAUCCGCUCCUGCAACUACUGCUCUCGCACCUGAGGUCACGCAGGUAAGCCAAAACUUCCACACCUGUGGGCACGGACCAGCUCGCCCAAAACCGCUUCUGCAUCCCUCCUGGCCACUUCUGCGGCUUCGCACCUGCGGCCAAAACCUCGCAGGUGCGGUUACACCAGAUACCAGCUGCCUUGUCAUUUUACUUAGUCCAAAAAUUGAUCCGUUAAGCAUUCAAAACUCACCUGAGGCCCACAGGACCCCGUUCAAUCACACCAACCAGUCCAAUAACAUAACACGGACCUGCGCGAGGCCUUAAAUCACAUCAAACAACAUUGAAAUCAUGAAUCGCACCCGAAUUCAAGCUUAAUAAACUUUAGAACUUCAAACUUCUAUAUUCGAUGCUGAAACCUAUCAAAUCACGUCCGAUUGAAAUCAAAUUUUGCACACAAGUUACAUUCGACAUUACGGACCUACUCCAACUUCCAGAAUCGGAAUCUGACCUCGGAAUCCCAAACGGAUGUCGAUAUCAUUGAAUUGCACUUCAACUCAAAUUUAUGAAAUUCUUCCAAAAUAACAACUUCCAUAAUAGGCGCCAAAACGCUCCCUGGUCAUCCAAGACCCGCUCCAGACAUAUGCCCAAGUCCAAAAUCAUCAUACAAACCUAUUGGAACCUUCAAAUCCCGAUUCCGAGGUCAUUUACGUAAAAAUCAACCCUGAGCCAACUCCUCUUAAAGCUUCUAAAAUUAGAAUAUUCUCUCCAAAUCAACUCCGAACUUCCCGAAUUUCAAUUUCGACCACACGUAUAAGUCAUAAAACUCGAAGUGAAGCUACUCAAGGCCUCAAAUCACCAAAUGACGUGCUAGAGCUCAAAACGACCGGUCGGGUCAUUACACUAUGGAUUUGAGGAGUUUGAUUUGAGUAUUUGAGUGGCGACUUGUUGUUAGAUUUUGGUAAAAAUUGGUAUGGGUGAACUCGUGGUCGAAUGGGUGUUCGUAUUUUGUGACAUUUACCCGAUUUUGAGAUGUGGGCCCGGGUCGACUUCUUGGGGCGAUUUUUUGAUUCUUUGCCUAAGUAGUAGUUUCAUUAUUUAAAUUAGUUUUUUGUAGUUGUAUUCAUGAUAUGUAAUUGAUUUUGGCUAGAUUUGGGCCAUUCGGAGUCGAAAAAUCGAGGAAAGGGCAUCCUUAUCGAUUGAUUGGGCGAGAUUUGAGGUAAGUGACUUGUCUAAACUUGUGAGGGAAAAUCCCCUAAAGAUUUGGUACUAUUAUAACAAUAUGUGAUAUGUGAGCGCCGUGUACACGAGGUGAUGAGUGCAUACACGGGCUAACUGUGGAAAUUUUCGGUUCUUGCUAAGUUGUCUUCUUUUAAAUUCCUUAACUGGGUUGCCUUAGCAUAUGUAGUAAUCAUGUUUAGCCUAGUAUCGCAUGUUUACGUGCCUUAACUCUUACUUGCAAUUUGUGCAACAUGCUUAGUUGAAUUACAUGUUUACCUUGAUUUGAAUUAAAUCUUUAACUGUAGGAUUUCUUGCUGUAAAUUCGUGUUUCCUUCGAUUAUCUACUGCAUAUUUACUUUGGGAUUACGAGGCGGUUCCUCGGGAGAUCCUCUUGUACUGCAUAUUUACUUUGGGACUACGAGGCGUUUACUCAGGAGAUCCCCCCUGUCUUGCAUAUUUACUUUGGGACUACGAGGCGGUACCUCGGGAGAUCCCCUCUGUCAUGCAUACUUACAUUUGGGACUACGAGGCGAUACCUCGGGAGUGCCACUGUUGUUACCUCUAAUUGCUGAGCUAUUAUUUUCUAAAACUUCUCGUUGUUUUAAAUUCGCAGUCAUUACAAAAUAUUAUUAUAUCUUCUGCCUUACUUUUCUUUUAAACCAGUAGGGCCCUGACCUGACCUCAUCACUACUCUACCGAGGUUAGGCUUGGCACUUACUAGGUACUGUUGUGGCAAACUCAUACUACACUCUGCACAUCUUUCUAUGCAGAUCCAGGUUCUUCCUACAAGGCCAGAUACUAGUGAGCUGGACUAUACGUGGAGACUUCAAGGUAUAUCUACCAACGUCCGCAGACCUCGGAGUCCCUCUCUAUCUUUAUUAUGGUGUUUCCAUUAUUCUCUUUAGACUUGAUGUAUACAGACACUUAGUAUUUGCUCUUAAAAGCUUGUGACUUAUUUCCAGCAAUUUUUGGGAAUUGUUAUUAUUGAUAUGCAGUUUUAUAUUUAUCUCAUGUGUUGAGAAUUGGAUUUUAAUUUUAUAUUAUGAUAUUCCGCAAAUUGUUAGGAUUACCUAGUCUUAAAGACUUAAUAUUAGGUGUCAUCACGAUAUCCUACGGAGAGUGAAUUAGGGUCAUGACACGGUGGUGUCAGAAUACUAGGUUCAUAGGUGUUAUGAGUCAAAGCAGGUUUAGUAGAGUCUUGCGGAUCGGUACGAAGACGUCUAUACUUAUCUUUAGGAGGCUAUUGAAUUGUUAGGAAAAGCUUCACUUCCUUGAUUCCUUAUCGUGCGAGAUUUUCACUUUGGAUUCUAAAUUUCUGUCUUUCCAUUCUCUCACGGAUGAUGAGGACACGUACAGCUGGAUCGGAUGACCAAACGCAUACGCCCCCUGCUAGAGCUGCGAGAGGCCAGGGCCGGGGUAGAGGCCAAGGACGUCCACUUGGUGCAGCUAGAGCACCCGCACGAGCUGCUACAGAAGAGCCACUAAUAGCUCCAGUUGGAGGACAGGAACCUGAGACGCCUAUCACUGCACUAGCCCUCUAGGAAACUCUAGCCCAGUUUCUGAGCAUGUUCAGCACCUUGGCUCAGGCAGGAUUGAUACCCCUUGAUUCUGCCACAUCUCAGGCUGGGGGAGGAGCACAGACUCCCAUCGUCGGUACCCUAGAGCAGCGGGUUCAGGUCAACCAGGUUCCAGAGAUCAUACAUGUCACGCUCCAACCUCGGGGAGCGCGACCGGUGCUUAAUCGAGUAGACCCGGUCGAGCAAGCCUGUUUGACACUAUCUACCCAACUCACUUAUGAUCAAGAGAAGGCAUGCUCUCAUUAGUUAGGCAGUAGAAAGUUCAUACAUAUAUACAUUGCUAAGUCGUUUCAUUUUGUUACAUCAUUGUUAAGUUUCAAAAUACAUACAUCCUUAUGACUGAGUGGAACAAGAGCCCAAAACACAACAUGAUCUGUUGACCUUUCUACAACCCAUAUACAACCCACAUAGUGUCUACGGAGCCUCUAAAGAUACAAAAGAGAGUAAAGAUGGUGCCGGCAACAAGGCCCGGGCUAUACCUCAAAAAGUGACCACAAUAAAAACAAAAGGUAUAAUAUAUGACCCCGGAAUGAAUGGGGCUCACCGAGUCCGCUGAGAAGAGGAUACAGCACUAUCUGUGAUCAACACAUUAACCUCAAAUUUUGCACACAAGCUACAUUCGACAUUACGGACCUACUCCAACUUCCGGAAUUGGAAAUCUGACCCCGAUAUCAAAAAGUCCACUCCCGAUCAAACUUCUUAAAAUUAUCCAAAUUUCCAACUUUCGCUCAAAUGACCCCAAAAUGACCUACGGACCUCCAAAUUCACUUCUGAACGCACUCCUAAGACCGUAAUAAUCAUACGGAGCUAUUCCCAGACUCAGAAUCCCAAACGGAUGUCGAUAUCAUUGAAUUGCACUUCAACUCAAAUUUAUGAAAUUCUUCCAAAAUGCCAACUUCCAUAAUACGCACCGAAAUGCUCCCAGGUCAUCCAAGACCCGCUCCGGACAUACGCCAAAGUCCAAAAUCAUUAUAUAAACCUAUUGGAACCUUCAAAUCCCGAUUACGAGGUCGUUUACUCAAAAAUCAACCCUGAGCCAACUCCUCCAACUUAAAGCUUCUCAAAUUAGAAUUUUCUCUCCAAAUCAACUCUGAACUUCCCGAAUUUCAUCGACCACACGUACAAGUCAUAAAACCCGAAGUGAAGCUACUCAAGGCCUCAAAUCACCAAAUGACGUGCUAGAGCUCAAAACGACCGGUCGGAUCGUUACACUAUGGAUUUGAGGAGUUUGAUUUGAGUAUUUGAGUGGCGACUUGGUGACAGAUUUUGGCAAAAAUUGGUAUGGGUGAACUCGUGGUCGAAUGGGUGUUCGUAUUUUAUGACUUUUACCCGAUUUCGAGAUGUGGGCCCGGGUCGACUUCUUUGGGCGAUUUUUUAAUUCUUUGCCUAAGUCGUAGUUUCAAUAUUUAAAUUAGUUUUUUGUAGUUGUAUUCAUGAUAUGUAAUUGCUUUUGGCUAGAUUUGGGACAUUCGGAGUAGGAAAAUUGAGGGAAAGGCAUCCUUAUCGAUCGAUUGAGUGAGAUUUGAGGCAAGUGACUUGUCUAAACUUUUGUGGGUGAAAUCCCCUAAGGAUUUGGUACUAUUGUAACAAUAUGUGAUAUGUGAGCGUCGUGUACACGAGGUGACGAGUGCGUACAUGGGCUAACUGUGAAAAUUUUCGAUUCUUGCUGAGUUGUCUUCUUUUAAAUUCCUUAACUGGGUUACCUUAGCAUAUGUAGUGAUCAUGUUUAGCCUAGUAUCGCAUGUCUACAUGCCUUAACUCUUACUUGCAAUUUGUGCAACAUGCUUAGUUGAAUUACAUGGGUCCCUUGAUUUGAAUUAAAUCUUUUACUGUAGGAUUUCUUGCUGUAAAUUCAUGUUUCCUUCGAUUAUCUGCUGCAUAUUUACUUAGGGACUACGAGGCGGUUCCUCGGGAGAUCCUCUUGUACUGCAUAUGUACUUUGGUACUACGAGGCGUUUACUCGAGAGAUCCCCCAUGUCUUGCAUAUUUACUUUGGGACUACGAGGUGGUACCUUGGGAGUGCCACUGUUGUUACCUCUAAUUGCUGAGCUGUUAUUUUUUGAAACUUCUCGUUGUUUUAAAUUCGCAGUCAUUACAAAAUAUUAUUAUAUCUUCUUCCUUACUUUUAUUUUAAACCAGUAGGGCCCUGACCUGAACUCAUCACUACUCUACCGAGGUUAGGCUUGGCACUUACUAGGUACCGUUGUGGCAUACUCAUACUACACUCUGCACAUCUUUCUGUGCAGAUCCAGGUUCUUUCUACAAGGCCAGAUA